Molecule: ribosomal RNA, 477 nt
Filed under: Candidatus Scalindua brodae
Lineage: Bacteria; Pseudomonadati; Planctomycetota; Candidatus Brocadiia; Candidatus Brocadiales; Candidatus Scalinduaceae
Description: bacterial SSU rRNA
Rfam family: Bacterial small subunit ribosomal RNA
Source: RNAcentral
UUCGCAAUGCCCGAAAGGGUGACGAAGCGACGCCGCGUGGGUGAGGAAGGCCCUCGGGUUGUAAAGCCCUGUCAGGAGUUAAGAAAUAUAGGUACGCUAAUAUCGUAUCUAUUUGACAAAGGCUCCAAAGGAAGCCACGGCUAACUCUGUGCCAGCAGCCGCGGUAAUACAGAGGUGGCAAGCGUUGUUCGGAAUUAUUGGGCGUAAAGAGCACGUAGGUGGAUUUGUAAGUCAGAUGUGAAAGCCUUCUGUUCAACGGAAGAAUUGCAUCUGAAACUACAAACCUUGAGUAUAGGAGGGGAGAAUGGAACUUCUGGUGGAGCGGUGAAAUGCGUAGAUAUCAGAAGGAACGCCGGCGGCGAAAGCGAUUCUCUGGCCUAUUACUGACACUCAGUGUGCGAAAGCUAGGGGAGCAAACGGGAUUAGAUACCCCGGUAGUCCUAGCCGUAAACGAUGGGCACUAAGUAGAGGGGUUUU